Molecule: long non-coding RNA, 343 nt
Filed under: Gossypium raimondii (Peruvian cotton)
Lineage: Eukaryota; Viridiplantae; Streptophyta; Magnoliopsida; Malvales; Malvaceae
Description: long non-coding RNA (GRAI_LNC006483)
Source: RNAcentral
AUAAGGCUACCCGAAGAAGAGAAGCAUCCAAAGAAGUCAAGACUCGGUAAGACUAGACAAAAUUGGCCCUUCAAAAAUCUUUGCUCCAUUCUCGUUACACGACAAUGAGCAAAGAGAAGCAGCUAUAACUGACCUAUUUUGCCCGGGCCCAAAUCAGACCAAAAAAACACAAAAAAAAAUAAAUAAAAAUCUCACAUAUUAACAGUCCAUCAGACCCGAAUUAUAAGCCCAAAAAAAUUAAAAACCCUAAUAGCCCAAAUAGCCCAACACCCCAAACACCUAACAGAAACCCUAGCCCCCCUUUUACGUUGCACCUAGCCUCUGACAACCACUGCCACUGCCG